UAGCUCCAAGACUGACAGGGAUAAUGCAGAGACCUGGAAGUCAAAUAAAAAGCAGAAGUGACUAACUGGCAGGAACAGAAGCCGCUCAUUUGGAAAGGAUCUUCCCUGCGAAGCUGAAAUGUGCAAACACAAGUCAAGGGAUAAUUUCAUCCCAAAUGUACCAUUCUUCUUUUGCCUGAACAAGUGACUUAAAAACCAUCUGGAGCCUUGCCAAGCACAGAGAGAAAAAUUUAUUGGCUGUGAUAUCACACCAGAAAACAUUGGAGAAAGCCGAAGAGGUCAAGCAAAGUGUCAUGUAUGAUCUCCUGCUCUUCAAGGGCAGAGAUCACUUGUGUGUGAGAAAGAGAGAGAGCAAUUGCUUAUUGAUGUAAUGGAAGCAAAUGAUCAUAAUGUAAAGGGCAGGUAAAUGACAGCAUCCUUCUGAAAGAUAUGCAGAACCUCUCCUGCUUCUUCUGAGGUAUUUGCAAAUGUUGGCAAUUAGUUGCCCUAAGUGCUGUUUUGUCUCCUCUCCACAAACAUGACAAGAGCCCUGAAUGCUGAUAAAGCAGAGCUUGGCAGAGUCCCAGGCAAGCUAUCUUCUUCUGAGACUGCACUCUGGUGAGCUUCUCACUUGUUUUGCAGGUAUUCAGUCUUCCAAAGCCAGGAACAUACAUCUUCGGGAGAUAAAGUUGCAACAGAAUUUUGAAUAAACUGAACAUGGAAAUGCUUCUGGCUCAGCUAACAGAAUGACGUAGUGGCCUUGGAGAAUGACACCAUCUGCAGGCUGGCACUGCGGGAAAUGAAGAUGGCAGGAUUAGAAGGGUUUUGAACAUGUAGGAAAAUGAUGGAGAAACUGCUUUGAAAUGCUUACUCACGUCCUUCAAAUCUUCAAGCUGGACAACAGGGGAGAUAUGUAGGAGCUUUAAAGAAAAGUACUUCCCAAUGACACUGCCCUCAAACGGUAACAUCAAUAUCUGAUCUGCCAGCAGAGUGGCUGCCUUACACUUGACCCUGUACCUGCUCUACCCAGGUGGCACAGAAGACAAGCUGGAACUCCUCUUUGCUGGUUUCCCCUCCCCAGAUUGCUGGAAGGUUAGGCUGAGGUGCCCCACAGCUGAAUGGUUUGUUGGGAAAACAGGAUUUACUGACAAUGGACCAGCAUCCACAGCCAGUGUAAGUUAACUUUGCCACACAGAAAUCUGUUUGGCAUCUCCCUGAAAAUGCAGCACAAUGAGAGUUCUGAAGUCUGCGAGUCAGAGAUCAGUGCUGAGGACAAGAUCUCAAGACUCCCUGUUUCCUGCAAUAUACAGCCUGUCCCUGCCUAUUCAUGGUUAAACCAAGGAGAAAUCAUUGAGGACAAGCACUUCAGCACAUCAGCUGCAUUGUCUCAAAUUCCUGAAAAUUCUUGUGUGAAGCAGUGAACAGGAGCAGGGAAGAACUGAAAGUACUGUGGAUCAUCUGGAGAUGUGAAGGAGCUGUGCUCUCCCACCCAGGACACCAGUAGCAUCCUUCUGGGAGGAACCAUUUAUAUGGGGCUGUGUAAUCCAGCCUGGGAACCAGAGAGAAAGCAGUCUCACAGGAGAGAAAUGGAGAGAAGGUAAGCACAGCAUUCUUCCUCCUCCUCCCCAGGUCCUGAAGGUAGCAUCAUUCUCGUGGGUAAGGCACUGCCUAGAAAUAGUUGUG
This is a long non-coding RNA of Pezoporus occidentalis (night parrot), 1662 nucleotides long. RefSeq lists it as uncharacterized. The transcript is spliced from 11 exons. The record is from RefSeq and is a predicted model, not a curated record. Lineage: Eukaryota; Metazoa; Chordata; Aves; Psittaciformes; Psittacidae.